CAACAGGGAGCAACCGAGGAUCUCAGGGCUGAGAUAGAAAGUAUCAUAGUGGCCCUGCUACGCAAGAAGCAGGACCUCUAUCGUCAGCAUGGUUGGUUGACAGAUAUUCAAAUGGCUCAUUGCAAAUGCAAACAAACUCUGUUUUCCUUGUUUUCACUUUCUUGUUUCACUUUGCAGAUAGCAACCAGACCAGACAAAGAAAGAGAAGAAAAAUAAGAGAAUUAAAAAACAAACUAAGACAAAAGAUCCGGCUCUACAAUACUAUUGCAGAGGAUCCCAUUGAUGAGGGAUUGGCAUCCAAUUUGACAGAGGACUACAUCCUGCCUUGGGAGAGAAGUGAGGAUGGCCACUCCUUCAGAUUAAAACGGUCUGUUUUUGACCAAACAAUGCUAAUAUGACGCCUUGAGGAGGAGCAGAGCAUCCUGGUGAAGGAGAUGUCUCAACACAUCACGUCUCUCCGGAAGGAGAUAAAGGCAGUAGAUAAGCUUAAAGAGAACAUCAGAAUGGGCUAUUUUGGUGACAUGUCAGAGGAUGCUGCAGCUGGUUGGAAAAGUGUCCUCAUGCGGAGGUCCUCCAUACUGGAGAGUUCAUCACAAAAUGCUGUGAGCAUGUAUAGUGCUAUAGUUGACAACCUCCAGAUACAGGACACAGAAUGCAGUACGGACACUGAUGAUGAGUAUGACCUUAGUAGUCCAGAGUCAGAAGAUUAGGAAAGAGACCACUCUAUGUUUUGUUUUGUUUUUAAGAUCUGUUUCCUUUUUUGUUUUGUUUUUUGCAGUGGAGGCACUGACCGAACAACCACUGAGCCUCAUUGGCCAGUUGAAACCCGUUAACCGAUUAGUUCAAAAUAUGCUACGCUAUUUGAAAUUACAGCCAUUUCGAGCCGCGCCUGCAAUUUCACAACUCUCUCGCAUAUCUCUGCCACUCUGCCAGUGCCUCCCGCUCACACACACACACACACUGCCCCGGCCCCGCCCUUCCACUCAUGUAACUUUUUUUUUAAUCCCAUACAGUGCGAAACAUGAGUUCCACAAACGCGGCACUGAGGAGGUUGUAUGAGUACAAAUGGCUCCUUUUGGGUACAAGGUGAUCGUGUUGAAAAUAAAGGCAUUUAUCUAGCAUUAGAAGCUCAUUUGAAACAUUGCCGCGGCUCAUUUAAGAAAAUGACAGCUCCGAAGA
Carassius gibelio (silver crucian carp) is the source of this 1179-nucleotide long non-coding RNA. RefSeq lists it as uncharacterized. The transcript is spliced from 3 exons. The record is from RefSeq and is a predicted model, not a curated record. NCBI's taxonomy places the organism in Eukaryota, Metazoa, Chordata, Actinopteri, Cypriniformes, Cyprinidae.